RNAcentral lists this ribosomal RNA (253 nucleotides) under uncultured bacterium. RNAcentral's name for it is "partial 16S ribosomal RNA". It matches the Rfam family "Bacterial small subunit ribosomal RNA", at positions 524 to 776 of the family's 1533-position model. The record is from RNAcentral.
UACGUAGGUGGCAUGCGUUGUCCGGAAUUAUUGGGCGUAAAGCGCGCGCAGGCGGUCCUUUAAGUCUGAUGUGAAAGCCCACGGCUCAACCGUGGAGGGUCAUUGGAAACUGGGGGACUUGAGUACAGAAGAGAAGAGUGGAAUUCCACGUGUAGCGGUGAAAUGCGUAGAGAUGUGGAGGAACACCAGUGGCGAAGGCGACUCUUUGGUCUGUAACUGACGCUGAGGCGCGAAAGCGUGGGGAGCAAACAGG